Molecule: long non-coding RNA, 822 nt
Filed under: Helianthus annuus (common sunflower)
Lineage: Eukaryota; Viridiplantae; Streptophyta; Magnoliopsida; Asterales; Asteraceae
Description: hypothetical non coding rna
Source: RNAcentral
GAUCUCACUCAUACCCCCAUCUUCAUUCUCUGUACUCAACCCAAGAACAAGAACACAAUACACACAAACCUCUCUAUCUAUGUUGAUCUGGUGCUUCAUAAUGGUUGCACCAUCUAGGAUUUCGAUCUAAAUCGCUGACCCCUCAUAUCGCAUCAUCGACCCCAUCUGUUCUAGAUCUGAAUCGCCGCCAUGAUAUGUUAGGUAUUUUCGCCCAAAUCGGAGGUUCAGUCUGAGUUGUCUGAAAAACAAACCGAAAUUGACAGGGAAUGGGAGAGAUCUGGCGGUAGUUAAGUCAUUUCAGGUGGUGGCGCGCCAGUGGUGACGACGGGUCAGAUAAUUAGAAGACGAUGACGUCGGGUUUGCGAGAGUGUGUUUGUUAUUUGGAUUUUUGAUUCUGUUAUAUGGAGAACUAGUUUUAAUGUCAUGAACAACAAGUUUAAUCCAUCUUUAUCUACAAUACCUUGGUCAAACAUGGGAGAACCCAUCACCACAAAUGAGAGCUGCUGAUGUGAGAUAUGGAGGUGGUGGCAGGUUGUGAAUUGGUGAUGGAGACGAACAAGACGGGAAGACAGAGUUGGAAAAGAGAGAGAAAUUGGGUGAUUGUUUAUAUAUAUAAUUUUUAAUUGUUGUAAGUUCUUUUUUUUUCUUAUUUGUUAAACUAGUGGGAAACCCGCGCGUUGCAGCGGAGUUGACAAUAUGGGCCGAGAACAUAAUUUAAACCUAAACGUUAAAAACCUUUAUGAUGUCUAUUACAAAAAGUACCCGUGUAAUACACGGGUUGAGUAAGUAAAUAGUUAUUAAUGAAAAUUUAAGAAAUAUUUU